AACGCAGCGAAGGGCGAUACGUAAUGUGAAUUGCAGAAUUCAGUGAAUCAUCGAAUCUUUGAACGCACCUUGCGCCCCUUGGCAUUCCGAGGGGCACACCCGUUUGAGUGUCGUGAAAUUCUCAAAACCCUUUCUUUUUGGUCAUUUUUGACCAUCGAAAGGGUCUUGGACUUGGAGGCCUUUUUGCUGGUUUCACCUUGAAGCGAGCUCCUCCCAAACGUAUUAGUGGGGUCUGCAUUGUCGGUCCUUGGCGUGAUAAGUUGUUUCUACGUCUUGGAUUUUUUGGCGCUGUACACCUGCUUCUAACCGUCUUCAUUGACAACGAUGGUGUUCCGGUCGCCGCCGAUUUUUCGGUGGGAGGCUUGACCCACGAAACAAACCUUGACCUCAAAUCGGGUGAGACUACCCGCUGAACUUAA
Molecule: ribosomal RNA, 419 nt
Filed under: uncultured fungus
Lineage: Eukaryota; Fungi
Description: eukaryotic LSU rRNA
Rfam family: 5.8S ribosomal RNA (bases 1-113)
Source: RNAcentral